Molecule: transfer RNA, 235 nt
Filed under: Streptococcus agalactiae
Lineage: Bacteria; Bacillati; Bacillota; Bacilli; Lactobacillales; Streptococcaceae
Description: partial 16S-23S ribosomal RNA intergenic spacer
Rfam family: tRNA (bases 11-82)
Source: RNAcentral
GGGGGCUUGUGGGGCUUAGCUCAGCUGGGAGAGCGCCUGCUUUGCACGCAGGAGGUCAGCGGUUAGAUCCCGCUAGGCUCCAUUGAAUCGAAAGAUUCAAAUUGUUCAUUGAAAAUUGAAUAUCUAUAUCAAAUUCCACGAUCUAGAAAUAGAUUGUAGAAAGUAACAAGAAAAUAAACCCUAAAACGCUGUGAAUAUUUAAUGAGUUUUCUAGUUUUAAAGAAACUAGGUUAAA